GGUGGUAUAGCUCAGCAGGAGAGCACAUCCUUAGCAUGCAUGAGGUCCUAGGUUCAAUCCCCAGUAACUCCC
Molecule: transfer RNA, 72 nt
Filed under: Camelus dromedarius (Arabian camel)
Lineage: Eukaryota; Metazoa; Chordata; Mammalia; Artiodactyla; Camelidae
Also listed under: 1 other name
Rfam family: tRNA
About the family: Transfer RNA (tRNA) molecules are approximately 80 nucleotides in length. Their secondary structure includes four short double-helical elements and three loops (D, anti-codon, and T loops). Further hydrogen bonds mediate the characteristic L-shaped molecular structure. tRNAs have two regions of fundamental functional importance: the anti-codon, which is responsible for specific mRNA codon recognition, and the 3' end, to which the tRNAs corresponding amino acid is attached (by aminoacyl-tRNA synthetases). tRNAs cope with the degeneracy of the genetic code in two manners: having more than one tRNA (with a specific anti-codon) for a particular amino acid; and 'wobble' base-pairing, i.e. permitting non-standard base-pairing at the 3rd anti-codon position.
Source: Rfam by way of RNAcentral